Molecule: long non-coding RNA, 204 nt
Filed under: Elaeis guineensis (African oil palm)
Lineage: Eukaryota; Viridiplantae; Streptophyta; Magnoliopsida; Arecales; Arecaceae
Description: long non-coding RNA (EGUI_LNC054027)
Source: RNAcentral
UGGCCAAUUUUUAUAUGUAUGUGACCCAUUGAAUUCUACAUCUAACCAGUAGUAGGUCUAGAUGCAAGUUGACCUAAUUUGAUUAGACUUCGAUCUAACCGAUUUAGGUCCAAUCGAGCUAACCCAAGCUCAACAAUUAGAACCGUUUCUACUUCAUGAUCAAAUUAAACUCUUUAAUUCAAUUAGAUCUACAAGUCAAGAUUG